UUGGUGGCGCGAGCCCCUCACCUGGCCGCGGCCCGACAGACGGCCUGGGACCCCAGGGUCAGGUUCUCUUGGCAAGGGAUGUCUCCAGAGAGGACUGAGGAGCCACUGCUGGUCCGCGCGCGCCCCGGACUGCGCUCCUUGCAAAGCCUUCUCAAUGGUUUGGAAUAGACACUGCUAACAAGAGUAUUAGUAGUAAACUAAGAAGAACAGAGAAAUUGAAUGAAAAGUGAGAACAUGGAGAGAGGCAAAAUGUGCAGUCAACAGAUUGGGAAGGAAAAGAGCGUGGCUGGAUCAGGGAUGAUUGAAGUAAUUCCACUGAACUCAUUGAAAUUACGCUGACAGCCACUUGACAUGGAAACAUGGAGGAAGAAGGCCCUGGAAUCCAUAAUCCUCUGAAGAAACAUCUGCUCAUUUGUCUGAUUUCUCCCUAAUCUGUACACUUCUCCAAAGCAGGAUGUAUAGUCACAGUUGCUCCCGUAUUCCCAAUAAUUAGUCAUAGUUAUGCUUUUUUCAACCCCUUGUACUGCAAGGAAUCUUUCUGGAAUAAACUGUACAGAAUAGGAAGAAUAGGUGAUGGUCUUUGAGAUAUUUUGCAGGACAUAGAAGAAAACCUAAAGGGGACACAAAUCCCAUCGAUUAGUUUCUUAAGAGUGGACAAGUAGAGUGGCCUUAGGAGUGGUCUUCUCUAUUAACCAGAGAUAGCAGGGUACAAAGACAGGACCAACAAAGUUUGUUCAUGGAAAAAGACUUGUUUCAAGGCCCUAAUGCUUUUUAAAACUGUCAUCAAGGCUUAACUAUCAGCUCUGUCUGCUAACGUGAGUGAAGUGUUUUGAAAAGAUGGAGAGAAAGUCAGCAUUAGGAUAUGAUCAUUGUCAUUCCUUUCAAGUAGGCAUUUUCUAGCGCCAUUGGCUUAUUUGCCCGGUGUAGCUUUCUCUAACCUCCUGUCUGUGCUGUUGGGAAGAAAUAAUUCCUCCGUGUUAGGAUAGCACUUUUUACACCUCUUUUCAUGACACUGCAACACUUCACGUGCAGUAAAUCAAGAUCUCUGACGGAAGAUGUAAUGGAAAGGAAACUAAGGGUUAAGUUAUUUGGUCAGACAUAAUACCAGAUUUUUAAAAUAUUCUGUACUUUGUUUUAAUAACUACUUAAUUAUGUAGGUACUAAUUCCCCCCUUUUUUUUUAGAUGAAAAGCUAAAGAGAAAUUAACAGAACCUGACCAGUAGUCAGUGGUGUUUCCAAAUUCCUAGGUCUUACUUACAGCAGUCAUUACUUUUUCUUCAUAAUUCAUAUAGCUUAAAAUACACAAUGUAGGGUGCCCUCUUUAUUACUCAUUGACACUCUCAUAACCCUUUCCUCCUUGUUUUUGCCCAAGCAAAAGCUUUCAAAUGUCAGUUAAUAAGUGCGACAGGGAUAAAAUAAGAAAAAUUUGGAGUUCCCAUCAUGGUGCAGUGGUCAGCGAAUCUGACUAGGAACUAUGAGGUUGCAGGUUCGAUCCCUGCCCCUGCUCAGUGGGGUAACGAUCCGGCGUUGCCGUGAGCUGUGGUGUAGGUUGCAGACGCGGCUCGGAUUCUGAGAUGCUGUGGCUUCGGCGUAGGCCAGCAGCUACAGCUCCAAUUCGACCCCUAGCCUGGGAGCCUCCAUAUGCCGCGGGAGCG
This 1655-nucleotide long non-coding RNA is filed under the name Sus scrofa (pig). RNAcentral's name for it is "lncRNA (ENSSSCG00000044939.2)". Lineage: Eukaryota; Metazoa; Chordata; Mammalia; Artiodactyla; Suidae. The record is from RNAcentral.